This is a long non-coding RNA of Dreissena polymorpha, 829 nucleotides long. RefSeq lists it as uncharacterized. The record is from RefSeq and is a predicted model, not a curated record. Lineage: Eukaryota; Metazoa; Mollusca; Bivalvia; Myida; Dreissenidae. The transcript has 2 exons.
CCAUUGGCGCCAAAUGGCGCUGAAUUUUUAAAUGUGGCUCCAAUUUUUUAAAAGUGGCGAAUUUCAAAAAAUCGGUAAAAUCCUAUCCGAAAAUGUACUGCGAGUCGAAAUCACGCGACCGAGCAUUAGCGGCCAGCGUCUGUCAGUUGUAAAUAUUGAUUUACGACGAUGUAAGCGACCUACAGUGCAGAGUGCAUUAGAAAUCACCGAAGCGUGUAAGUGUUACAAACGGUGUUUUUACUGCUAUUGUCAAGUUUUAUGGGGGUUAUUAUCGGAUUAACGGCUCCUUUAUGAUAUUGAGCAAUAAGUUAAGUAACACGGGGACAAACUGUCACGACGAUCAAUAAUUAUAAUGAUUAUUAGGGCCGCUAUUUCUUUGUUAAAAUCAAAACCAUGGGGCUGGCAAAAGCAUUUAAUUUCUCCACAUCAACAAAUAAAAACUUGUUUCAACAGGCAACUAGAAUGGAUGGUGGCAAUUAUCUGGGCCUUUCUGUCAGGAAAAAGGCAUGAACAACAGUCAUUUAAUUGAACCUGGAAAUCAUCCACCACUAACAGAAAACUUGUUAACAACAGAAGCUGAUGUAUAUCAUGUCCAAAUGACCAAAUAUAACUGUUAAACACUUUGAAGUGAGAUGCUUUAUUUUCUGAUUCCCUUUCAAAUGAUGAACAUUGGUGUGAUUUUAUGUUUAAAUAAUUAAUUUCGAAACAUUUAUGCAGCAUACUGUUUAAUACAUUGAUGUUAACAUUAUUAUAUUAUUUUGGUUAUCUGUGUUGUUUAUCAAGUUGAAAAAAAUGUUAUUUAUAUACAAAUAAAGCUUAUUAAGACUUA